UACGAAGGGGGCUAGCGUUGCUCGGAAUCACUGGGCGUAAAGCGCACGUAGGCGGAUCUUUAAGUCAGAGGUGAAAUCCCAAGGCUCAACCUUGGAACUGCCUUUGAUACUGGGGAUCUUGAGUCCGGGAGAGGCGAGUGGAACUGCGAGUGUAGAGGUGAAAUUCGUAGAUAUUCGCAAGAACACCAGUGGCGAAGGCGGCUCACUGGCCCGGUACUGACGCUGAGGUGCGAAAGCGUGGGGAGCAAACAGG
Molecule: ribosomal RNA, 253 nt
Filed under: uncultured bacterium
Lineage: Bacteria
Description: partial 16S ribosomal RNA
Rfam family: Bacterial small subunit ribosomal RNA
Source: RNAcentral